Molecule: non-coding RNA, 80 nt
Filed under: Pelosinus fermentans
Lineage: Bacteria; Bacillati; Bacillota; Negativicutes; Selenomonadales; Sporomusaceae
Also listed under: 1 other name
Description: ZTP sequence
Rfam family: ZMP/ZTP riboswitch aptamer (pfl RNA motif)
About the family: Previously known as pfl RNA. ZMP is also known as AICAR.
Source: RNAcentral
AAACGGAUACAGAACUGGCGGAUCGUGGAAUAACCACAAGGGACUGUAUCUUGAAUUAGCCGACCGCCUGGGCAUAACUU